This 498-nucleotide ribosomal RNA is filed under the name uncultured bacterium. RNAcentral describes it as "partial 16S ribosomal RNA". It matches the Rfam family "Bacterial small subunit ribosomal RNA", at positions 28 to 507 of the family's 1533-position model. The record is from RNAcentral.
GACGAACGCUGGCGGCGUGCCUAAUACAUGCAAGUCGAACGAGAGCGACCGGUGCUUGCACUGGUCAAUCUAGUGGCGAACGGGUGAGUAACACGUGGGUAACCUGCCCAUCAGAGGGGGAUAACAUCCGGAAACGGAUGCUAAAACCGCAUAGGUCUUCGAACCGCAUGGUUUGAAGGGGAAAAGAGGCGCAAGCUUCUGCUGGUGGAUGGACCCGCGGUGCAUUAGCUAGUUGGUGAGGUAACGGCUCACCAAGGCCGUGAUGCAUAGCCGACCUGAGAGGGUGAUCAGCCACAUUGGGACUGAGACACGGCCCAAACUCCUACGGGAGGCAGCAGUAGGGAAUCUUCCGCAAUGGACGCAAGUCUGACGGAGCAACGCCGCGUGAGUGAAGAAGGUUUUCGGAUCGUAAAACUCUGUUGUUAGAGAAGAACAAGUGCUAGAGUAACUGUUAGCGCCUUGACGGUAUCUAACCAGAAAGCCACGGCUAACUACGUG